GCCUGACCCAGCCACGCCGCGUGUGUGAUGAAGGCUUCGGGUCGUAAAGCACUGUGGGGAGAGACGAAACAGCGCAUCAGGAAAUGGUUGCGCCUUGACGGUACCNCCAKUAGCAAGCACCGGCUAACUCUGUGCCAGCAGCCGCGGUAAUACAGAGGGUGCAAACGUUGCUCGGAUUUACUGGGCGUAAAGCGCGUGUAGGCGGACUCGCAAGUCGGUUGUGAAAUCCCUGGGCUCAACCUAGGAACUGCAUCCGAAACUGCUUGUCUUGAGUAAUGGAGAGGGUGGCGGAAUUCCCGGUGUAGAGGUGAAAUUCGUAGAUAUCGGGAGGAACAUCAGUGGCGAAGGCGGCCACCUGGACAUWUACUGACGCUGAGACGCGAAAGCGUGGGGAGCAAACAGGAUUAGAUACCCUGGUAGUCCACGCCGUAAACGAUGAGAACUAGGUGYAGCGGAUAUUGAC
Molecule: ribosomal RNA, 463 nt
Filed under: uncultured delta proteobacterium
Lineage: Bacteria; Deltaproteobacteria
Description: bacterial SSU rRNA
Rfam family: Bacterial small subunit ribosomal RNA
Source: RNAcentral